UACUGGCAUCUACCUCGAGAGGGAACAACCUGCCGAAAGGCGGGCUAAUACCCCAUAAGACCACAGGGUCGCAUGAUCUAGAGGUCAAAGCUCCGCAAGGGGCACUUGAAGAGGAGCCCGAGUCCUAUCAUGGUAGUUGGCGGGGUAAUGGCCCACCAAGCCGUUGACGGAUAGCCGGCCUGAAAGGGUGAUCGGCCACACUGGCACUGAGACACGGGCCAG
RNAcentral lists this ribosomal RNA (222 nucleotides) under uncultured bacterium. RNAcentral describes it as "partial 16S ribosomal RNA". It matches the Rfam family "Bacterial small subunit ribosomal RNA", at positions 116 to 334 of the family's 1533-position model. The record is from RNAcentral.